GACGGAGGAUGCAAGUGUUAUCCGGAAUCAUUGGGCGUAAAGCGCGCGUAGGUGGCCUCAUAAGUCCGCUGUGAAAGUCAAAGGCUCAACCUUUGAAAGCCGGUGGAUACUGUGAGGCUAGAGUACGGAAGAGGCGAGUGGAAUUCCUGGUGUAGCGGUGGAAUGCGCAGAUAUCAGGAGGAACACCAAUAGCGAAAGCAGCUCGCUGGGACGUUACUGACACUGAGGCGCGAAAGCGUGGGGAGCGAACAGG
Molecule: ribosomal RNA, 253 nt
Filed under: uncultured bacterium
Lineage: Bacteria
Description: partial 16S ribosomal RNA
Rfam family: Bacterial small subunit ribosomal RNA
Source: RNAcentral